Molecule: ribosomal RNA, 253 nt
Filed under: uncultured bacterium
Lineage: Bacteria
Description: partial 16S ribosomal RNA
Rfam family: Bacterial small subunit ribosomal RNA
Source: RNAcentral
UACGAAGGGGGCUAGCGUUGUUCGGAAUUACUGGGCGUAAAGCGUGCGCAGGCGGCUUCUCAAGUCAGGGGUGAAAGCCCAGAGCUCAACUCUGGAAUUGCCUUUGAGACUGAGUGGCUUGAGUACGAGAGAGGUGAGUGGAAUUCCCAGUGUAGAGGUGAAAUUCGUAGAUAUUCGCAAGAACACCAGUGGCGAGGGCGGCUCACUGGCCCGGUACUGACGCUGAGGUGCGAAAGCGUGGGGAGCAAACAGG